This 483-nucleotide ribosomal RNA is filed under the name uncultured bacterium. Its description in RNAcentral is "partial 16S ribosomal RNA". It matches the Rfam family "Bacterial small subunit ribosomal RNA", at positions 30 to 507 of the family's 1533-position model. The record is from RNAcentral.
UUGAACGCUGGCGGCAGGCCUCACACAUGCAAGUCGCGCGGAUGAAGGGAGCUUGCUCCUGGAUUCAGCGGCGGACGGGUGAGUAAUGCCUAGGAAUCUGCCUGGUAGUGGGGGAUAACGUCCGGAAACGGGCGCUAAUACCGCAUACGUCCUGAGGGAGAAAGUGGGGGAUCUUCGGACCUCACGCUAUCAGAUGAGCCUAGGUCGGAUUAGCUAGUUGGUGGGGUAAAGGCCUACCAAGGCGACGAUCCGUAACUGGACUGAGAGGAUGAUCAGUCACACUGGAACUGAGACACGGUCCAGACUCCUACGGGAGGCAGCAGUGGGGAAUAUUGGACAAUGGGCGAAAGCCUGAUCCAGCCAUGCCGCGUGUGUGAAGAAGGUCUUCGGAUUGUAAAGCACUUUAAGUUGGGAGGAAGGGCAGUAAGUUAAUACCUUGCUGUUUUGACGUUACCAACAGAAUAAGCACCGGCUAACUUCGUG